UGAAGGCCUCACGUAAAAAGAGUGCCCAAAGGGUCCCGCCAAUAGAUGUACUCAUUCUCUGUCCCACGCGAGAACUUGCUAGUCAGAUAGCUGCUGAAGCUAAUGUGUUGUUAAAGUACCAUGAAGGCAUUGGUGUGCAGACACUAGUUGGAGGGACAAGGUUCAAAGAAGAUCAGAAACGCCUAGAGUGUGAUCCAUGCCAGAUUAUAGUUGCAACACCUGGUAGAUUAUUAGAUCACAUUGAGAACAAGUCUGGCUUCUCUACACGAAUAAUGGGA
This 278-nucleotide unclassified non-coding RNA is filed under the name Hevea brasiliensis (rubber tree). Lineage: Eukaryota; Viridiplantae; Streptophyta; Magnoliopsida; Malpighiales; Euphorbiaceae. The record is from RNAcentral.